RNAcentral lists this ribosomal RNA (464 nucleotides) under uncultured bacterium. RNAcentral's name for it is "partial 16S ribosomal RNA". It matches the Rfam family "Bacterial small subunit ribosomal RNA", at positions 29 to 507 of the family's 1533-position model. The record is from RNAcentral.
ACGAACGCUGGCGGCGUGCUUAACACAUGCAAGUCGAACGGAAAGGCCCCUUUGGGGGUACUCGAGUGGCGAACGGGUGAGUAACACGUGAGUAACCUGCCCUUGACUUCGGGAUAACUUCAGGAAACUGGGGCUAAUACCGGAUAGGAAUCCUUGCUGCAUGGUGGGGGUUGGAAAGCUUCGGCGGUUUUGGAUGGACUCGCGGCUUAUCAGCUUGUUGGUGGGGUAGUGGCUUACCAAGGCUUUGACGGGUAGCCGGCCUGAGAGGGCGACCGGCCACAUUGGGACUGAGAUACGGCCCAGACUCCUACGGGAGGCAGCAGUGGGGAAGAUUGCACAAUGGGCGGAAGCCUGAUGCAGCAACGCCGCGUGCGGGAUGACGGCCUUCGGGUUGGAAACCGCUUUCAGCAGGGGCGAAGCUUGUGGUGACGGUACCUGCAGAAGAAGCACCGGCUAACUACGUG